Salvelinus sp. IW2-2015 is the source of this 496-nucleotide long non-coding RNA. RefSeq lists it as uncharacterized. NCBI's taxonomy places the organism in Eukaryota, Metazoa, Chordata, Actinopteri, Salmoniformes, Salmonidae. The record is from RefSeq and is a predicted model, not a curated record.
GCUGACAUGCCUGUCUUUUCUGCCUGUCUGUCUCUAGCUUAUAAAUACACCACAACAUCACUGUCAGUACACAGUGGGCGGGAGAGACAGGAAGAGAGGAAGAUGUCACAGGUGAAGGAAAUAAUGACGCAAAGGAUGGGUAGAGAAAAGAGCGACACACCUUAAAAAAUAAUAGUUGGGGGGGGUCGAAGUUGUAGACAACAAAUACUUGGCAUUUGGUGUGGUCUCUACAGUGCAAAAGAAUGGUGAUGGAACAGUUCUUUGUGGCUGUGCUAAUGAUGUCUGCACACCUAGCAGUCUCAUAUCCUCUGAUUACAGAGCGCUAUUACAUGGAUGGAGGGAGACAAUGCAGACUGUGUCCACCAGGUCAUUAUCAGAAGUCCUGUUCAGAGUGCUCUCCCUGUCGAGAUGGUUCCUACACAACACGAUUGAACGCAGAGUCCAGUUGUCAUUCCUGCUUCAAAGACUGCAAACGUGGUACAUGAACACAAACACA